RNAcentral lists this non-coding RNA (21 nucleotides) under Arabidopsis thaliana (thale cress). The record is from RNAcentral. Lineage: Eukaryota; Viridiplantae; Streptophyta; Magnoliopsida; Brassicales; Brassicaceae.
CCAUCGAGUCUUUGAACGCAA